UACGUAGGCAGCGAGCGUUGUUCGGAGUUACUGGGCGUAAAGGGUGUGUAGGCGGUUGUUUAAGUUUGGUGUGAAAUCUCCCGGCUCAACCGGGAGGGUGCGCCGAAAACUGGAGGGCUAGAGUGCGGGAAGGGAGAGUAGAAUUCCUGGUGUAGCGGUGAAAUGCGUAGAUAUCAGGAGGAACACCUGUGGUGUAGACGGCUUUCUGGACCAUAGCUGACGCUGAGACACGAAAGCGUGGGUAGCAAACAGG
RNAcentral lists this ribosomal RNA (253 nucleotides) under uncultured bacterium. RNAcentral describes it as "partial 16S ribosomal RNA". It matches the Rfam family "Bacterial small subunit ribosomal RNA", at positions 524 to 776 of the family's 1533-position model. The record is from RNAcentral.